GGUUCGAUGGUGUAGUUGGUUUAUCACUUCUGUCUAACAUUUUACGUAAUCCACGUUACGUAGCGUGGAACACAGGCGGUCCUCAGUUCGAACCUGGGUCGAAUCA
Molecule: non-coding RNA, 106 nt
Organism: Mycena crocata
Lineage: Eukaryota; Fungi; Basidiomycota; Agaricomycetes; Agaricales; Mycenaceae
Source: the annotation of a GenBank genome assembly